GUUCAUAAGUCAGUGGUGUAGAGGAUAAUCUCUGCCAGCACGGAAAAUUCCAAAGCACUGACUUACUGUUUCAGACGUGGGGAAAACAAACAAACAAACAAACAAACAAAUAAAUGGUUCCAGCUGAUUUAGAGAAAUCGAUCGCUGUGGAAUGCAAGGACGAUCGAGAAGUCUCUGCACACACAGAUAAAGAAGACAAAGGGGAACAUCUUGAUGUCUGUCACAUUCCAGGCAUUCCGUUGUAGUUUUUUUCCUGUCCCAAAUGGCAGGGUUUGAGUAGGCAAGAAGGUGCAUCCUACUGGUAAG
RNAcentral lists this long non-coding RNA (306 nucleotides) under Gallus gallus (chicken). RNAcentral describes it as "lncRNA (ENSGALG00010015231.1)". Lineage: Eukaryota; Metazoa; Chordata; Aves; Galliformes; Phasianidae. The record is from RNAcentral.